Molecule: long non-coding RNA, 734 nt
Filed under: Rattus norvegicus (Norway rat)
Lineage: Eukaryota; Metazoa; Chordata; Mammalia; Rodentia; Muridae
Description: long non-coding RNA NONRATT026185
Source: RNAcentral
AGGCGGCGGGUUCGGGCUGGAUGCCAGCGUCCCGCGUCUCCCCAGUCCUCAGGACCCGCCCUGGGUGCCCGGGACCCUAGUGCCCUCUGAUGCGCUGGGGACCCCUGCCUCCGACAUCCCCUGGGGAUCCCUGGGUCCGCGGCCACCUGUGGACUUGAUCACCUUUCACACCCAGGAAACCCCAAGUCCUCCAGAUUUCCCUCAGACUCAGCACACAGGAGACCUCAGCGGCUUCAAGGCCUGAGACCGUUACAUCUAAUCCAGAAGCCCAACAGAUCCCCUCUGGUCCUAUUCCAGAGACUUCUCAGGUCUCCAGGCCCAUGGACUCCCAUCUCUUCUUGUGUGGAGGCCUUCCUUCCUAGGAUCUCCUGCCUCCCUUUCUUAAACUUGAGGUCCACAGAGCCUUGCAGCUUCUACUAGAGUGUUCUUGAGGUUUGUGGAUGGUUAAUAGGAAUAAAAGUAGAACCAUCUGACAAGUCAGCAGAGGACUACGCAUAACCAAAGAGGAGGUGGUGCUCACCUUAGCACCUCACCAGAGUGUCUGCUAUCCAAGUAUAAGACACAGUGCUUUGGUAGGGGGGAAGAGGACCUGCAGUCAGCCGGAGACUGAAGGGAAUGGAAAAGGAGAGCAUUUGGAUGUGUCAGCACUGUCUGUGUAACUGGAAGGGCUGAAGCUGCAAGCAGGAUGUGUGGAUGUCUAGACAGGUUCACAGAUGGAGUCAGUGGAAAAGACA